AACGAACGCUGGCGGCAUGCCUAACACAUGCAAGUCGAACGAGACCUUCGGGUCUAGUGGCGCACGGGUGCGUAACGCGGGGGAACCUGCCCGUAGGUUCGGAAUAACUGCCCGAAAGGGGUGCUAAUACCGGAUAAUGUCUUCGGACCAAAGAUUUAUCGCCUUUGGAUGGGCCCGCGUUGGAUUAGCUGGUUGGGAGGGUAAAAGCCUACCAAGGCGACGAUCCAUAGCUGGUGUGAGAGGAUGAUCAGCGACACUGGGACGGAGACCCGGCCCAGACUCCUACGGGAGGUGGCAGUGGGGAAUAUUGGACAGUGGGCGAAAGCCUGAUCCAGCACUGCCGGGUGAGUGAUGAAGGCGUUAGGGUUGUAAAGCUCUUUUACCCGGGAUGAUAAGGCCAGAACCGGGAGAAAAAGCCCGGGUUACUUCCUU
Molecule: ribosomal RNA, 432 nt
Filed under: uncultured bacterium
Lineage: Bacteria
Description: partial 16S ribosomal RNA
Rfam family: Bacterial small subunit ribosomal RNA
Source: RNAcentral